Molecule: ribosomal RNA, 253 nt
Filed under: uncultured bacterium
Lineage: Bacteria
Description: partial 16S ribosomal RNA
Rfam family: Bacterial small subunit ribosomal RNA
Source: RNAcentral
UACGGGGGGGGCAAGCGUUGUUCGGAAUUACUGGGCGUAAAGGGCUCGUAGGUGGCCAACUAAGUCAGACGUGAAAUCCCUCGGCUUAACCGGGGAACUGCGUCUGAUACUGGAUGGCUUGAGGUUGGGAGAGGGAUGCGGAAUUCCAGGUGUAGCGGUGAAAUGCGUAGAUAUCUGGAGGAACACCGGUGGCGAAGGCGGCAUCCUGGACCAACACUGACACUGAGGAGCGAAAGCGUGGGGAGCGAACAGG